Non-coding RNA from Rhineura floridana, 72 nucleotides. Lineage: Eukaryota; Metazoa; Chordata; Lepidosauria; Squamata; Rhineuridae. The record is from the annotation of a RefSeq genome assembly.
GAGGAUGUAGCUCAGUGGUAGAACAUCUGCUUUAUGCGCAGAAUGUCCCAGGUUCAAUCCCUGGCAUGUUCA